This is a long non-coding RNA of Helianthus annuus (common sunflower), 1786 nucleotides long. RefSeq lists it as uncharacterized. The transcript has 3 exons. Lineage: Eukaryota; Viridiplantae; Streptophyta; Magnoliopsida; Asterales; Asteraceae. The record is from RefSeq and is a predicted model, not a curated record.
GUGAGUCUUACAGGCAGCCAUCAUCAAUGUAACUCUUCAUAUCUAAUCAUCUCUUUCACUUUCCCCACACAUCCGAAACUCACCACAAUCAAGCAUUACCAUUUCCUCUCCAAUGACCACCGCCUCCUACCUCACAAUGAAUCGGCAAGUGAGAAGCUUAAAAGUUAUUGAAUCGGUCAGUGAAGAUUAACCCUAUAGGCGAGAGUCGUGACGGCCCUCGGACCAAACCAUAGUAAAUUGAAGCACAUACAUACGGAAUGAGUAAUGGCGUACCAUCAGGUCGCAAUGGGACCUUUGAUGUUUGCAUCAAUGUUUAUAGAGAGGGCCCAACAAUUUCUUUCGGUUUCCAUUUGAUUUGACUGAAUGUUAGUCAAAGUACUGAAAUGCUUUGGUUGUUAAGUUCAAGCAUGUUCUCUUGUUUGUUGCUAUAUAUAUAUUGCAGGUUAAAGGAGCUGCUAAUGAGGUCCUUGCUAUAUAUAUAUGUUGCUAUAUAUAUAUUCAACUAAGAUCAAGUCAAGGUUUCGCCACAGGAAGAAUAAACCUCGGAGAAUUAGAAGUCACAAUGGUUAAAGAAUCACAUAACAAAGCAUUUUUACAGGCUGACGAAUGCAGUGUGAGCGAUCAUUGUGGGACGACAGCUUUAACUGUUUUGAUCAUGGGAAGACAUAUAAUAAUAGCCAAUGCUGGUGACUCUCGUGCGGUCGUAUGUAAGAACGGGUCUGCAACAAAGAUGACUCAAGACCACAAGGGGUUAACUUGUUUACAAGAAAAGGAAAGAUGCGAGCGGUGAGGUGGUUACUUUGAUGAAGACGGGUACCUGAACGGUCAACUAAGUGUGACCCGUGCGCUUGGAGACUAGCACAUGAAGAAGGAGAAGUUGGUGAUUGCUGAACCGGAUGUGAGACAAAUGGUGUUGACGGAUAAUAAUGAGUUUAUGAUCAUUGCGUGUGAUGGGAUAUGGGAUGUGAUGUCAAACCAAAAUCGAUAGCGCUAUAAUCGAAACUGGUACCCGUAAUAUUUUUUUAUGGUUCUCGAUCGUUUUGAUAUCCUUUUUGGCGUAUUACGCCUUUAUUUUUUAUUUUUUGGAUUUUUCAGUAUUGUAAUGAACCGAAACAAUGUUUUGAUAAACAAUGUUUCCUUCACCCUAAUCGAUUCUUGUUAUAACCCGAUUUGCCACCUGUAGUUUUACGCAAUGUACAUGCUAUUGAGUGACUUGACGACGGGCUUCAGAUUAACAGGUUCUUCUUAUUCAUGAAGUAUUCACAAUGAUCUUGCGUGGUUUGUCUGCUACAAAGCUUACUAGACCUGGCAAGUUAUGUAGCUGUCAAGAGUCAAUACGAUUAUGCUGAUAGAACUUGGGUUCAGGCCAUUUGGUUCUUGUUUUUUGUAAAAAUAAAGCUGGUAACAAAAUGUCAUUUCUGUUCACAUCGACCUUCAUAUGCCACUUCUUUUGAUCUUCAUAAAAUAACUUAUGUGCACAUUCGCGAUUGUGGAUUUUGAAAAUUGACGAGUACGGGGAAACUCUCGGGAUAAGUCGUUCUGGAAUUGUGCUAGAUUCGUAUAUGAGGAUGAUGGGAAUCAACUAUGAGAGGGAAGUGACUUGUAGGUAUUCUUAAGGGGCUAAAGUGUAAUAUAGGGGGUACUAUAAGUAAUAGAGAAUAAGGCGUGUUAGGAGGUAGGAUUGAGUUUGUUAAUCGAUUAGGGCUCCUGCGUUGUGCAGUGAGAGAGGGCUAGGCCCUGGACUAUCUCUGUUUCCAUUCUUUUAUCUUUACGUAUAUCAUCAUCA